AGAAUCAACGCUGGCGGCGUGCCUAACACAUGCAAGUCGAACGAGAAAGUGGUAGCAAUACCAUGAGUAAAGUGGCGCACGGGUGAGUAACACGUGACUAACCUACCCUGGAGUGGGGGAUAACUGAGGGAAACCUUAGCUAAUACCGCAUAAUACCCACGGGUCAAAGGAGCAAUUCGCUCCAGGAGGGGGUCGCGGCCGAUUAGUUAGUUGGCGGGGUAAUGGCCCACCAAGACGAUGAUCGGUA
RNAcentral lists this ribosomal RNA (247 nucleotides) under uncultured bacterium. RNAcentral describes it as "partial small subunit ribosomal RNA". It matches the Rfam family "Bacterial small subunit ribosomal RNA", at positions 26 to 285 of the family's 1533-position model. The record is from RNAcentral.